This 197-nucleotide unclassified non-coding RNA is filed under the name plant metagenome. Its description in RNAcentral is "partial contains small subunit ribosomal RNA, internal transcribed spacer 1, and 5.8S ribosomal RNA". The record is from RNAcentral.
UCUCCGUUGGUGAACCAGCGGAGGGAUCAUUACCGAGUGCAAACUCAUAACCCUUUGUGAACCUAUAUCUGUUGCUUCGGCGGCUCGCUAUCGGGCGAGCCCGCCGGUAAUAUCAGUAUCUCUGUUUGAACCCGACGAUACUUCUGAGUGUUCUUAGCGAACAGUUAAAACUUUUAACAACGGAUCUCUUGGCUCUG